This 72-nucleotide transfer RNA is filed under the name Phrynosoma platyrhinos (Desert horned lizard). RNAcentral's name for it is "tRNA-OTHER". The record is from RNAcentral. Lineage: Eukaryota; Metazoa; Chordata; Lepidosauria; Squamata; Phrynosomatidae.
GCCGGUGUGGUGUAGUGGUUUGAGCAUUGGACUACGACUCUGGAGACCAGGGUGCAAAUCCCCACUCAGCCA